Molecule: ribosomal RNA, 246 nt
Filed under: uncultured bacterium
Lineage: Bacteria
Description: partial small subunit ribosomal RNA
Rfam family: Bacterial small subunit ribosomal RNA
Source: RNAcentral
AGAAUCAACGCUGGCGGCGUGCCUAACACAUGCAAGUCGCACGAGAAAGGGUAGCAAUACCUGAGUAAAGUGGCGCACGGGUGAGUAACACGUGAAUUAUCUACCUCCGAGUGGGGAAUAACUGAGAGAAAUCUUAGCUAAUACCGCAUAACACUUACGAGUCAAAGCAGCAAUGCGCUUUGGAGAGGAGUUCGCGGCAGAUUAGUUAGUUGGCGGGGUAAUGGCCCACCAAGACGAUGAUCUGUA